UACGUAUGGUGCAAGCGUUAUCCGGAUUUACUGGGCGUAAAGGGAGCGCAGGCGGCGCGCCAAGUCUGAUGUGAAACCCCGGGGCUCAACCCCGGGCAUGCAUUGGAAACUGGCGGGCUGGAAUGCCGGAGAGGUAAGCGGAAUUCCUAGUGUAGCGGUGAAAUGCGUAGAUAUUAGGAGGAACACCAGUGGCGAAGGCGGCUUACUGGACGGCAACUGACGCUGAGGCUCGAAAGCGUGGGGAGCAAACAGG
This 253-nucleotide ribosomal RNA is filed under the name uncultured bacterium. RNAcentral's name for it is "partial 16S ribosomal RNA". It matches the Rfam family "Bacterial small subunit ribosomal RNA", at positions 524 to 776 of the family's 1533-position model. The record is from RNAcentral.